This 236-nucleotide unclassified non-coding RNA is filed under the name fungal sp. Its description in RNAcentral is "partial internal transcribed spacer region". The stretch from base 1 to 46 matches the Rfam family "Eukaryotic small subunit ribosomal RNA", at positions 1786 to 1831 of the family's 1831-position model. The record is from RNAcentral. Lineage: Eukaryota; Fungi.
AAGUCGUAACAAGGUUUCCGUAGGUGAACCUGCGGAAGGAUCAUUAACAAAUUGUAUCCAAUUUGCAACCGUGUUCUGUAUAUUGUCUUCUGGCAAGAUUAGUAGGGGGGUCGUCUUCUCUACUGCUUGCCAGUCUUUUUAAAUCCAUAAUUAACUUUCUGAUCUCUUAAUUCAUGUGAGAAAUCUCUCAUGAACUUAACUGAUACAACUGUUAACAACGGAUCACUUGGUUCUCA